UAGACAAGUUCCAUAUCUUAGGACCUCAGU
RNAcentral lists this non-coding RNA (30 nucleotides) under Mus musculus (house mouse). Lineage: Eukaryota; Metazoa; Chordata; Mammalia; Rodentia; Muridae. The record is from RNAcentral.